Molecule: ribosomal RNA, 497 nt
Filed under: uncultured bacterium
Lineage: Bacteria
Description: partial 16S ribosomal RNA
Rfam family: Bacterial small subunit ribosomal RNA
Source: RNAcentral
GAUGAACGCUGGCGGCGUGCCUAAUACAUGCAAGUCGAGCGAACAGACGAGGAGCUUGCUCCUCUGACGUUAUCGGCUGACGGGUGAGUAACACGUGGAUAACCUACCUAUAAGACUGGGAUAACUUCGGGAAACCGGAGCUAAUACCGGAUAAUAUAUUGAACCGCAUGGUUCAAUAGUGAAAGACGGUUUUGCUGUCACUUAUAGAUGGAUCCGCGCCGCAUUAGCUAGUUGGUAAGGUAACGGCUUACCAAGGCAACGAUGCGUAGCCGACCUGAGAGGGUGAUCGGCCACACUGGAACUGAGACACGGUCCAGACUCCUACGGGAGGCAGCAGUAGGGAAUCUUCCGCAAUGGGCGAAAGCCUGACGGAGCAACGCCGCGUGAGUGAUGAAGGUCUUCGGAUCGUAAAACUCUGUUAUUAGGGAAGAACAAAUGUGUAAGUAACUAUGCACGUCUUGACGGUACCUAAUCAGAAAGCCACGGCUAACUACGUG